Non-coding RNA from Danio rerio (zebrafish), 89 nucleotides. Lineage: Eukaryota; Metazoa; Chordata; Actinopteri; Cypriniformes; Danionidae. The record is from Rfam.
GGCUCUGUGGUGCAAUGGAUAGCGCAUUGGACUUCUAGGCUAUGAGCUGAGCCAUUCAAAGGUUGUGGGUUCGAGUCCCACCAGAGUUG